ACCACUCCAGUCACUUUCCAGGCAAGACAGGGCUACCUUCAGCAUCUCUAGUGAAAGUGGUGAAUUAGCACUUCAAGGGUGAGAUGGCAUGGACAGAAGCUUCUGGGACUGAGUUCACCAUUGGAGGCUUCUUUCCAGCUUCCUGAAGGUCUCUGGAGGUCUCUUUUUACCUGGGAGGAUGAUCCCUGGCGGCUCCCUGCUGACAUUCUUCAAAACUAGGCUAUUUCCCCAGUGUCCUGCAGAUAGAACAGAAGAGGAAAUGAUGAAACUGUUUGUAGUGGCCUGGGCUGAAGUGUCUGCAUCUCACUCCAGGGCCUCCUGAAGAGCGCUGAUCCUGCAUUGUACACGUGGUUCUUCUCCUGUGCCUCCCCACUUGUCAGAUAAUUUCUUGAGGACAUGGAUGACUCUCUGGCACCGACAGUUCCAGGAUGCCAGUGUCUCUACAUCGUGACAACUUUGAAUGUGACCAUUAUAUCACCUACUAAGUCGGGCUGAGCUAGAAAUUAUGGCUAAAGUUCCAGAAAGUUCCAGAAAGCACAUUUGGCCUUACAAUAGAUAAUUAUGAACCGCAAAAGCUGCGCAUUUACUAAAUGAUAUGCUCUGCCAAGGAGCAAGUUCCCCAUCACACAGAGCAGCAGAAGCCACUAUCAGGAAUGCUGCAGUGGAUUUCUGAGUUGAGUAUGGGGUUAAAACACAAGUCCCUAGGUUUAGUCCAAUCUUAAAAAUUCUAUGAUUUUAUCUUUUAAAAAUAAUGUUUGCAUAGUAUUUUAAAGUUUUUAAUGAACUUUACAUACAUGAUCUCAUUGAUUCUUUUUUUAAAAAAUGGAGGUCACUUUUUCCUGGCUUAAACAAAUGAAAAUAAAUAUAAACAAUAUAGACUUCUGAAGAAGGAUGGCAGAAUAGAGGCAAAAUAGAGACUAUCCUUCUCCAACAUCUAAAAUAUGAAUAAAAAUAAUAAAAAUCAACAACAACAACAACAAAAACAGACACAAAAAAACAGCAACAGCAAGAACACAAGGAAAUGGCAGCAACCUAAUGUCAUAGACUUCAAAAAGGGGAAGACAAAGAAAGGAAAGAGAUUUUAGAAAAGUAGUUUCUAACUCUGUGCUCACUUUGGAAGCCUUAAAUUACCAAAAUAUUGAAAAAUCGAAUCAAAAGCUAUAAAUCAGAAAAAAAAACCAAUUAGCAGAGCAUAUUGUUUUCCCUAAAUGCUUUAGGUUAGAGAACAGGUUAAUAAGAAUAUGAAUUCAACAUGGUGGGUCCCAAAGAGGAAAUGAAACAAGAGAAUGACCUGGAAAAGUGAUUUUCUGCUGUCCUAUAGAAACAAAUUAAAGACCAAAACAUUAUUUUUAUUUUUUUAAAAUUAUACUUUAAUUCUAGGGUGCAUGUGCACAACAUGCAGGUUUGAUACAUAGGUAUACAUGUGCCAUGUUGGUUUGCUGCACCCAUCAACUCAUCAUUUACAUUAGGUAUUUCUCCUAAUGCUAUCCCUCCCCCAGCCCCCUACCCUCUGACAGGCCCGGGUGUGUGAUGUUCCCCCCUGUGUCCAAGUGCUUUCAUUCAAAAUGACAUUAUUAUAGAAUGGAUAAAUAGAUAAAAAAUCUUCAAAAAAAAAAAAAAACUAAAUAGACACAGCUCAAAAUAAGCUUACAGACAGAAAAAAUGCUUAAGAUAAAGGUAGUGAUUGCAAGUGAAAAGCACAUAGCAAUUUGAGCCUAGUUGUUAAGCCUGGUUGUAAAGAAUCUCCAAAUAGGACAGAUAAAAUAUUCAAAGCUAUAAAACAAAAAAAUUUGCUCUGACAAAUGCAGAAACGAAUCUGCAGAUUGAAAGAGCACACCAUGACCCAAGAAAAACAAAUACUAAAUGAUCCGCACUGAGACAUAUCCCCAUUAACUUAUCAAACUUCAAGGACUUUUUUAAAAAAAGUAUUUUGGCAUAGGACAUAAAAAGUAAAGGAAGCCAGUUAGGGUUGCCUUUGACACUAAUAAUCAAUAUUGCAUGCCAAGAUAUAAUAAAGCACCACCUAGGAUUUCCAAGGGAAAGUGUGACUCAAAAAUAUUUCACCCAUCCAGAAUGAGUUUAAGUAGAAAAGUCACAGAUAAAUAUUCUGGCCCACAGCAGCACUCAGGGAACACACACUCAUGAGUCCUGCUUGAGAGGAAUUGUUCAGUGAUGAAACAGUCGAUUUAGAGAUAAAUAGAAAUAAAAUAUUUGGAAAUAUAGAGUCUGGGAUAAAAAAGACUUAUUAGGAACACAUAAUUCAUUUGAACAUGGAACUGAUGGUAUUAAACAAUUAUGAGAUUAAUGUUUCCACAACAGAAUGUGAAUAUUAUAAACAAUGAUAACGUAAAAGUAAUAUUAGAGCCAAAAUUGGGAAGUGAGGGGUGGGGAGAUGGGAGGAAGUACAAGUCUAAAGAUUUACUCAUCUUUCCGAUGUGUGAGUCAUUCGAUAUUGUCUAAAACUGAAACAUGUUGCUAAAAAAAAAGACUCCAACCUUUUAACAUUUUUCAUAGUAUCUUUUCUUAACCUUAUUUCCCCAAGAAGGAAUUUUUAGCAAAUAGUAUCUCCUGUGGUAAAGGAUAUUUAACGAAAG
Molecule: long non-coding RNA, 2594 nt
Organism: Macaca mulatta (Rhesus monkey)
Lineage: Eukaryota; Metazoa; Chordata; Mammalia; Primates; Cercopithecidae
Source: RefSeq, a predicted model, not a curated record